RNAcentral lists this microRNA (21 nucleotides) under Alligator mississippiensis (American alligator). RNAcentral's name for it is "ami-miR-9613-5p". The record is from miRBase by way of RNAcentral. Lineage: Eukaryota; Metazoa; Chordata; Crocodylia; Alligatoridae.
UUCUGCAACAGGUGCCAGUUC